CCUACGGGAGGCAGCAGUGGGGAAUAUUGGGCAAUGGGCGCAAGCCUGACCCAGCAACGCCGCGUGAAGGAAGAAGGCUCUAGGGUUGUAAACUUCUUUUCUGAGGGACGAAGAAAGAGACGGUACCUCAGGAAUAAGCCACGGCUAACUACGUGCCAGCAACCGCGGUAAUCCGUAGGUGGCAAGCGUUAUCCGGAUUCAUUGGGUGUAAAGGGCGUGUAGGCGGGAAAGUAAGUCAGAUGUGAAAACUCAGAGCUCAAACCUGAGCCUGCAUUUGAAACUGGUUUUCUUGAGUGCUGGAGAGGCAAGCGGAAUUCGGGGUGUAGCGGUGAAAUGCAUAGAUAUACGGAAGAACACCGGUUGCGAAGGCGGAUUGCUGGACAGUAACUGACGCUGAGGCACGAAAGCGUGGGGAGCGAACAGGAUUAGAUACCCCUGUAGUC
RNAcentral lists this ribosomal RNA (443 nucleotides) under uncultured bacterium. RNAcentral describes it as "partial 16S ribosomal RNA". It matches the Rfam family "Bacterial small subunit ribosomal RNA", at positions 338 to 795 of the family's 1533-position model. The record is from RNAcentral.